CCUUCCUCUCCUGGCUGUGGUCAGUGCUGGAUGCUGCUGCUGGUUCUGUGUCCAGCGUGUUCACUCAUCACCGCCCUCAUCUCCUCCAUCUGCACACACUGCUUCUUCCACAAAAGAGAGGCUAAGAAGAUGGAGUUCUACCCAAGUACCACUAACAGGAAAGACAGAAGAAGAAAAGAGGAUGGGGACCUGUGCUAUGCUUCACUGGAUCUACCUCCUGGAGGACACAAACCAAGACCCAAGAAAAAGACACGGCAAAACAAUGACUUUAGCACCUACUCAGACAUCAGAACUGGCAUAGAGUUACGCUAACAAUGAUGAGUAGACGUGAAUGGCCAUUAGAGACAUUACUCUAUGGGGUGGCAUACAGGUGGAGCUGUCUCAUUUUGGUAACUU
Molecule: long non-coding RNA, 396 nt
Organism: Sardina pilchardus (European sardine)
Lineage: Eukaryota; Metazoa; Chordata; Actinopteri; Clupeiformes; Clupeidae
Exons: 3
Source: RefSeq, a predicted model, not a curated record